UGGUCCAGUGGGUAGAACUUAGCACUUUCACUGCUGUGAGCCCAGGUUCUACUCCUGG
Molecule: transfer RNA, 58 nt
Filed under: Ovis aries (sheep)
Lineage: Eukaryota; Metazoa; Chordata; Mammalia; Artiodactyla; Bovidae
Rfam family: tRNA
About the family: Transfer RNA (tRNA) molecules are approximately 80 nucleotides in length.
Source: Rfam by way of RNAcentral